CGAAGGGAGAAGGAAAAGACCCAUCCAGAAUCCAAUUAUGUUAACUCAUCUCUGCUAUUGAUCCUACAUUCCAGGCCUGGGAAAAAACCCCAAAACCUAAUUACUGCACCGCUAAUGACUGAGAUGACAAAUCGAGGAGCCUCCAGGCUGCUGAUGGAGGAAGACCCUCCCUACCUCCCACCCGAGGCUGCGUGAGAUAAAGUCAGACAUCACCCAAACGGAGCUCAGAGACAUGAACGCUCUAAAAGGAACAUGAACAAAGCGAACAGUCAUUGGAAGAUGUUGAGGAGACUCUCUCAUAAGUGUGGAGUGCGUUAGGUUUUCUAAAUCAAAACUUUAAACCCGGAUGUCACAAGCAACAUUCAGUUAUGUAAAAAGUUUCAACAGUGUUAUUAAAAAAAGCCACCGUAAACGAAGCAGAUGACAGUUACAUGCAGGAGAAAAUAUUGCAGCAUAUAAAACAGGAACGAGAUUAACACUCAGAAUAAAUAAAGAACGCCUAUAAAUCAAUGAGAGAAGAGAGACAAAUAGGCAAUGUGCACGGCUGAUUUACAGAAGAAGCUGCACACACAUGGCCGUGAACAUCUGAAGGAUACGCGUCUUCCGGAGAAUCGGCAGCUCAAAAUGCAACAAGGCUCUGUCGUUACGCCGUCGCACAUUGGCAGUCAUUUCUAACCAGGGAUAAUUUAAUUUCAGGGGAGUUUCCAGGGGAACAGGAGCACCAGGAGACAUUUGGUAUGAGGCUAGAUUGGUGAAGUCAUUUUGGAAACAAUUGCUUGUUGAUAUAAAAAGUGACAGCACAUGAGCUGAGCGAUUCUACUUUGAGAAAUGGAAAUGAAGAGACAGAACGGGGGCUGCAAACCCGCCGCACCAAGCUACCUGUGCAGGUGCAUAGAAAUGUCCAGGAAGCAACGCUCAGCACGAUGAUGCUUAGGACGCAAAUCUUUUUUUUUUUUUUUUUUUUUU
RNAcentral lists this long non-coding RNA (966 nucleotides) under Homo sapiens (human). RNAcentral describes it as "HSALNT0279184". The record is from RNAcentral. Lineage: Eukaryota; Metazoa; Chordata; Mammalia; Primates; Hominidae.